CAACUCUUAGCGGGGAUCACUCG
RNAcentral lists this ribosomal RNA (23 nucleotides) under Tor putitora (golden mahseer). RNAcentral's name for it is "partial 5.8S ribosomal RNA". Lineage: Eukaryota; Metazoa; Chordata; Actinopteri; Cypriniformes; Cyprinidae. The record is from RNAcentral.